GUCAACUGACUCCAUGUAGAAGUUAUUUCCAAUGAAUGGUGAUUUUUAUCCAUAUUUUGCAUUUUUGUUCUAGUUCAGUGAUAAUGAACGCCAUACUAAUUUCCAAAUUGUACACAAGAAACUAAAAUUAAAAUAAUACAAGACUAACAAAGGCCAGAGGCUCCUGACUUGGGACAGGCGCAAAAAUGCGGCGGGGUUAAACAUGUUUGUGAGAUCUCAACCAUCCCCCUAUACCUCUAGCCAAUGUAGAAAAGUAAACGCAUAACAAUACGCACAUUAAAAUUCAGUUGAAGAGAAGUCCGAGUCUGAUGUCAGAAGAUGUAACCAAAAAAAAAAAAAAAAAAAAAUGACAAUAAUACAUAAAUAACAACAGGCUACUAGCAGUUAACUGACAUGCCAGCUCCAGACUUCAAUUAAACUGACUGAAAGAUUAUGAUUUCAUCAUAUGAACAUCAGGCAC
Molecule: long non-coding RNA, 460 nt
Filed under: Mytilus galloprovincialis (Mediterranean mussel)
Lineage: Eukaryota; Metazoa; Mollusca; Bivalvia; Mytilida; Mytilidae
Source: RNAcentral